GACGUUUGAGAUGGUUUCUUCCAGUGGGCGGGGCCCCAAGAAGGAAUUGAUUUACCUCCAGUCAGUAUAGAUCUGUUCUUCCUAGACAGUUACUUUCUAGCUGUUAGCAGUAAACCUGGGAAUAAUAAGGAUGGCAAGUGUAUCCAGAGUCCUGACCAAGAGGUUUUUAUUAGCUAAAGCCCUCCCUGCAGCAGCCCGAUGUAGCUCCAGGAACAUCCACUUCUCCAUCUAUGGGAAGAAGGACAACGCCAAAGUGUCAGAUGAUAUCUCAACCCAGUACCCGGUAGUGGAUCAUGAGUUUGAUGCGGUGGUGGUAGGGGCUGGGGGAGCAGGUCUGAGAGCUGCUUUUGGUCUGUCUGAGGCUGGCUUCAACACGGCCUGUGUCACCAAGCUGUUCCCUACUAGGUCUCACACUGUGGCAGCACAGGGUGGGAUCAAUGCAGCCCUGGGUAACAUGGAGGGAGAUGAUUGGAGGUGGCACUUCUACGACACAGUGAAGGGAUCUGAUUGGCUAGGGGACCAGGAUGCUAUCCACUACAUGACAGAGCAGGCCCCAGCUGCCGUGGUGGAGCUGGAGAACUUUGGAAUGCCCUUCAGUCGGACAGAGGAUGGGAAGAUCUAUCAGAGGGCCUUCGGGGGUCAGAGCCUGAAGUUUGGAAAGGGAGGCCAAGCACACCGAUGCUGCUGUGUAGCUGACAGGACUGGACACUCCCUUCUUCACACAUUGUAUGGACGGUCCUUAAGGUACGAUACCAGCUACUUUGUGGAGUACUUUGCCCUGGAUCUGCUGAUGGAGGAUGGUGAAUGCAAAGGAGUGAUCGCUCUCUGUAUGGAGGAUGGAUCCAUCCACCGCUUUAGAUCCAACAACACUGUCAUCGCUACUGGUGGUUAUGGCCGUACCUACUUCAGCUGUACCUCAGCCCACACCAGCACCGGGGAUGGCAACGCCAUGGUAACCAGAGCUGGCCUACCAUGCCAGGACCUGGAGUUUGUACAGUUCCACCCCACCGGUAUCUAUGGUGCCGGCUGCCUCAUCACUGAGGGUUGCCGUGGCGAGGGAGGGAUCCUCAUCAACAGUGAAGGAGAGCGCUUUAUGGAACGCUACGCUCCCAACGCCAAAGAUCUGGCCUCCCGGGAUGUGGUGUCACGCUCCAUGACCAUUGAGAUCCGCGAGGGAAGGGGUUGUGGUCCAGAAAAGGACCAUGUGUACCUGCAGUUGCAUCACCUGCCCCCCCAGCAGCUGGCCACCCGCCUGCCUGGUAUCUCUGAGACCGCCAUGAUCUUCGCUGGGGUUGACGUCACCAAAGAGCCCAUCCCUGUCCUGCCCACCGUCCACUACAACAUGGGAGGAAUCCCCACCAACUAUAAGGGACAGGUCAUAACUCAUCCAGAUGGGGAGGACAAGGUGGUGCCAGGGCUGUAUGCCUGUGGUGAGGCUGCCUGUGCCAGUGUCCACGGUGCCAACCGGCUGGGUGCCAACUCCCUGCUGGAUCUGGUGGUGUUUGGCAGAGCCUGUGCCCUCACCAUCGCUGACACCUGCACUCCAGGUGAGAAGCUUUCCCCACUGAAGCCCAGUGCUGGAGAGGAGUCUGUGGCCAACCUGGACAAGAUCAGGUUUGCUGACGGGAACACCAGAACCUCUGAGAUCAGACUCAACAUGCAGAGAACGAUGCAGAACCAUGCAGCAGUGUUCCGUGCACGGCGACGUUCUGAAGGAGGGAUGUGACAAGAUGGACGCCAUCUACCAGACCAUGGAGGACAUCAAGACAUUCGACCGUGGUAUGGUGUGGAACACUGACCUGGUCGAGUCUCUGGAGCUGCAGAACCUGAUGCUGAACGCGGUCCAGACUAUCCACUCUGCCGAGGCCCGCAAGGAGAGCAGGGGAGCACACGCCCGGGAGGACUACAAGGACCGUAUGGAUGAGCUGGACUAUGCCAGGCCUCUGGCAGGACAGGAGAGGAAGCCUUUCCAUCAGCAUUGGAGAAAACACACCAUGUCCACUGUGGAUCCUAAGACUGGCAAGGUAACUCUGGAGUACCGACCAGUGAUUGACACCUCUCUGGACCAGGAGGAAUGUUCAGCCAUCCCUCCAGCCAUCCGCUCCUAUUAAGACUAUCUCAACAGGAACACUCUUAUUUAUUAUUGCCAGUCUGUCCGCUUCCAGCAAAACCCACCUCGGAUCCAUUUCACUGUAUGACCUUCACUCUGUGUGAGGGAGCACUGUAGAUAGGGAAUUAUUGCUUUCUCACAUGCAGUUUGACUUUCAACCCACAUUGUGCAAGCAAAUUAAUGAAGGUAUUGUGAUUGAAGUUUGUAAAUAUAGAAUUGUUUUAUAAUUGUCUGUUAUAUGAAGUUGUAGAGUAGUUCCCUAUAGGUAUAUAGUUACCUAAAUACUCCCAUUCCAUGUGGCCUUUAUUAUCCGCUGAUACCAUAAUAUUAGGACUCUAAAUGGAAUACUGAAUUUGAAUAUUGUGUAAUGAUUGUAGUUCAGAGUGCUAAGACAUCCUAUUUCCUGUAGAUGUCCCUUCAGCAUCAUUAACACGUAGUCUUUAGGGAUUAUCCUUUCAGGAUCAAUUCAUGUGUACAACUGGCGUGUGAACAGCAAUAUUUCCUGGGAAGUUUGAUUUCACUCUGCUUGCUACAGGUUAUGCACUUUAUGGCAAUUUUUUAAAAUAUACUCAACUAUAGUUGUCUUUGUGCUAUUUACUGGUGGAAUAUAGUGGACAUUAAGACAAUUAGGAUGGGUAAAAUAAAUGAAAUACUAUGUAUGUUACCAAUAAUUAAUUUGUCUUUGCUUUGUUCUUAUGUUCUGUGUAUUAUUUAAAAUGUGUCAUUAAACUUUAAAUCAACUCUA
Molecule: non-coding RNA, 2855 nt
Organism: Salmo salar (Atlantic salmon)
Lineage: Eukaryota; Metazoa; Chordata; Actinopteri; Salmoniformes; Salmonidae
Source: RefSeq, a predicted model, not a curated record